This 67-nucleotide transfer RNA is filed under the name Marmota monax (woodchuck). RNAcentral's name for it is "tRNA.Ala". Lineage: Eukaryota; Metazoa; Chordata; Mammalia; Rodentia; Sciuridae. The record is from RNAcentral.
GGAUUGUGACUCAGCGGUAGAGCGCUCACCUAGCAAGGGCAGGACCUGGGUUCAAUCCUCAGCACCA